This 783-nucleotide ribosomal RNA is filed under the name uncultured Rhodobacterales bacterium. RNAcentral's name for it is "partial 16S ribosomal RNA". The record is from RNAcentral. Lineage: Bacteria; Pseudomonadati; Pseudomonadota; Alphaproteobacteria; Rhodobacterales.
UGGCUAUCUGGUCGAUCCGCAGACCGCUGAAAUAAUCAAGUCGGUGCUGAAAUCCACCGCCUCGAUCCGCUCGAUCGCGUCUGUGGUGAAUGUCGAGGCGAACUCGUUCGAUGAGCUGAUCGACCAUACCGAUGUGGGCGCGGGCUGGACCGAUGAGAACACCGCUGCGAGUGAGACCGCGACCCCGUCGAUUGACCGUAUCUCGAUCUCGCUGCACGAACUGAGCGCGCUGCCCAAGGCUUCGCAGCGGCUGCUGGAUGACAGCGCAUUCGACGUCGAGGGCUGGCUGGCCGGCCGUAUCGCCGACAAGUUCGCCCGCGCCGAGGCGGCGGCUUUCAUCAACGGUGACGGCAUCGACAAGCCCAAGGGCAUCCUGAGCCAUCCGGCGGUGGACAAUGAUGUCUGGACCUGGGGCAACCUGGGCUAUGUGCCCACCGGUGUCGCGGGCGGCAUCGAUGCGGAUGCGAUCGUGGACGUGGUCUAUGCGCUGGGCGCGCAGUACCGCGUGAACGGCACCUUCGUGAUGAAUUCGAAAACCGCGGGCGUGAUCCGCAAGUUGAAGGAUGCCGAUGGUCGCUUCCUGUGGUCGGACGGCCUGGCGGCCGGCGAGCCCGCGCGUCUGAUGGGUUAUCCGGUGCUGAUCGCCGAGGACAUGCCCGAUCCGGGCACCGACAGUUUCUCGAUCGCGUUCGGUGACUUCUCGGCCGGCUAUACCAUUGCCGAGCGCCCCGACCUGCGCGUGCUGCGUGAUCCGUUCAGCGCAAAACCGCACGUGCUGUUCUA